CUACGGGAGGCAGCAGUAAGGAAUAUUGCGCAAUGGGCGGAAGCCUGACGCAGCGACGCCGCGUGGGGGAUGACGGCCUUCGGGUUGUAAACCCCUUUCAGCUCCGACGAAGCGUAAGUGACGGUAGGGGCAGAAGAAGCGCCGGCCAACUACGUGCCAGCAGCCGCGGUAAUACGUAGGGCGCAAGCGUUGUCCGGAAUUAUUGGGCGUAAAGAGCUCGUAGGCGGCCUGUUGCGUCGGCUGUGAAAACCCGGGGCUCAACCUCGGGCCGGCAGUCGAUACGGUCGGGCUGGAGUCCGGCAGGGGAGACUGGAAUUCCUGGUGUAGCGGUGAAAUGCGCAGAUAUCAGGAGGAACACCGGUGGCGAAGGCGGGUCUCUGGGCCGGUACUGACGCUGAGGAGCGAAAGCGUGGGGAGCGAACAGGAUUAGAAACCCUUGUAGUCCC
This 446-nucleotide ribosomal RNA is filed under the name uncultured bacterium. Its description in RNAcentral is "bacterial SSU rRNA". It matches the Rfam family "Bacterial small subunit ribosomal RNA", at positions 339 to 797 of the family's 1533-position model. The record is from RNAcentral.